This 482-nucleotide ribosomal RNA is filed under the name uncultured bacterium. Its description in RNAcentral is "partial 16S ribosomal RNA". It matches the Rfam family "Bacterial small subunit ribosomal RNA", at positions 28 to 523 of the family's 1533-position model. The record is from RNAcentral.
GACGAACGCUGGCGGCGUGCUUAACACAUGCAAGUCGAACGAUGAAACCUAGCUUGCUAGGUCGAUUAGUGGCGAACGGGUGAGUAACACGUGACUAACCUGCCCCUUUCUCUGGGAUAACGCUCCGAAAGGAGUGCUAAUACCGGAUACUCACACCUAGGCACAUGCCUGGGGGUGGAAAGUUUUUCGGAAAGGGAUGGAGUCGCGGCCUAUCAGCUUGUUGGUGAGGUAACGGCUCGCCAAGGCGACGACGGGUAGCCGGCCUGAGGGGGCGACCGGCCAAACUGGGACUGAGACACGGCCCAGACUCCUACGGGAGGCAGCAGUGGGGAAUAUUGCACAAUGGGCGCAAGCCUGAUGCAGCGACGCCGCGUGAGGGAUGAAGGUCUUCGGAUUGUAAACCUCUUUCAGUAGGGACGAAGCGAAAGUGACGGUACCUAAAGAAGAAGCACCGGCUAACUACGUGCCAGCCGCCGCAGUAA